GAAAUGCGAUAAGUAAUGUGAAUUGCAGAAUUCAGUGAAUCAUCGAAUCUUUGAACGCACAUUGCGCCCGCCAGUAUUCUGGCGGGCAUGCCUGUCCGGGCGUCAUUUCAACCAUCAAGCCCCCGGGCUUGUGUUGGGGACCUGCGGCUGCCCGCAGGCCCUGAAAACCAGUGGCGGGCUCGCUGUCACACCGAGCGUAGUAGCAAUCACCUCGCUCAGGGCGUGCUGCGGGUUCCGGCCGUUAAACAGCCUUACAAAACCCAAGGUUGACCUCGGAUCAGGUAGGAAGACCCGCUGAACUUAAGC
This 306-nucleotide unclassified non-coding RNA is filed under the name plant metagenome. RNAcentral's name for it is "partial contains 5.8S ribosomal RNA, internal transcribed spacer 2, and large subunit ribosomal RNA". The stretch from base 1 to 105 matches the Rfam family "5.8S ribosomal RNA", at positions 50 to 154 of the family's 154-position model. The record is from RNAcentral.